Cinara cedri is the source of this 267-nucleotide non-coding RNA. The record is from the annotation of a GenBank genome assembly. Lineage: Eukaryota; Metazoa; Arthropoda; Insecta; Hemiptera; Aphididae.
UAUACCAAAUAAGUGUAAAAUUGAAUCCUAAAGACUAUUUCCAUGAAUAAUCAUAAAGCUUUUGUGGCUUUUAAUAAUUUGAUUCAAUAUAAUGUAAUAUAAUUCUUAACUACAGAAAUUAUCUUUUUAUUAAUAAAGUUUGAUUAAAGAAAUUGUAUUUUCUUGAAGUGAGCCAAGAACAAAAAGGAAAUCACCGUAAUAUUGAUUAAAGCUCGGAGUUCAAAAAAUAUAAAAAAAAAAGACUUGUUCAAUGAUUUCCAAAUAAAG